CAGUCGCCACGGUAAUACGUAGGUCCCGAGCGUUGUCCGGAUUUAUUGGGCGUAAAGCGAGCACAGGCGGUUAGAUAAGUCUGAAGUUAAAGGCUGUGGCUUAACCAUAGUACGCUUUGGAAACUGUUUAACUUGAGUGCAAGAGGGGAGAGUGGAAUUCCAUGUGUAGCGGUGAAAUGCGUAGAUAUAUGGAGGAACACCAGUGGCGAAGGCGACUCUCUGGUCUGUAACUGACGCUGAGGAGCGAAAGCGUGGGGAGCGAACAGGAUUAGAGACCCGAGUAGUCCCUGUCUCUUAUACC
Molecule: ribosomal RNA, 301 nt
Filed under: uncultured bacterium
Lineage: Bacteria
Description: partial 16S ribosomal RNA
Rfam family: Bacterial small subunit ribosomal RNA
Source: RNAcentral